UUCGACUGUUUACCAAAAACAUAGCUACUAGAAAAUAUUAAUAGCAGUGAAACCUGCUCCAUGAUUAAGGAUAAAUAUAUAAAAAUAUAAAUAAUAUUUAAUUAAAUAGCUGCGGUAACCGUGACCGUACUAAGGUAGCAUAAUAAAUCGUCUAUUAAUUGUAGAAUAGAAUGAAGGUUCAACGAAAAUUCAACUGUCUCAAAAAUAAAUUUGUGAAAAUUGAAUGUGUGUGAAUAUCCACACUUAAACAGCAAGACGAUAAGACCCUGCGAACUUUACCAAACAUUUAUACAAAAUCAACGAAAAUUUUUUAAACAUAAAGUUUCGUUGGGGCAACGACCUUACAAUAGUAACUAAGGUUAAAAUAAUCUAAUUAAAUACAGACAAAUAAAUCAAUAUUUAUUACAAAGAUAAAACCCGUUAUAAAAAUCUUUAACAAUAACGCAUAAAAAUAAAAGUUCCGCAGGGAUAACAGCGUAAUAUUAUUUCAAGAAAAUAUCUUAAAUAAAGAUUGCGACCUCGAUGUUGAAUUA
This 533-nucleotide ribosomal RNA is filed under the name Ijimalophus hawaiicus. RNAcentral's name for it is "partial 16S ribosomal RNA". It matches the Rfam family "Bacterial large subunit ribosomal RNA", at positions 1795 to 2539 of the family's 2925-position model. The record is from RNAcentral. Lineage: Eukaryota; Metazoa; Porifera; Hexactinellida; Amphidiscosida; Pheronematidae.